GACGAACGCUGGCGGCGUGCUUAACACAUGCAAGUCGAACGGAAAGGCCCUGCUUUUGUGGGUUUCUCGAGUGGCGAACGGGUGAGUAACACGUGAGUAACCUGCCCUUGACUUUGGGAUAACUUCAGGAAACUGGGGCUAAUACCGGAUAUGAGCUCCUGCUGCAUGGUGGUGGUUGGAAAGUUUCGGCGGUUGGGGAUGGAAUCGCGGCUUAUCAGCUUGUUGGUGGGGUAGUGGCUUACCAAGGCUUUGACGGGUAGCCGGCCUGAGAGGGUGACCGGCCACAUUGGGACUGAGAUAAGGCACAGACUCCUACGGGAGGCAGCAGUGGGGAAUAUUGCACAAUGGGCGGAAGCCUGAUGCAGAAACGCCGCGUGCGGGAUGACGGCCUUAGGGUUGUAAAACGAUUUCGCAUGUGACGAAGCGUGAGUGACGGUAAUGGGUAAAGAAGCACCGGCUAACUACGUG
Molecule: ribosomal RNA, 468 nt
Filed under: uncultured bacterium
Lineage: Bacteria
Description: partial 16S ribosomal RNA
Rfam family: Bacterial small subunit ribosomal RNA
Source: RNAcentral